UACGUAGGUGGCGAGCGUUGUCCGGAAUUACUGGGUGUAAAGGGAGCGUAGGCGGGAGAGCAAGUCGACUGUGAAAUCUAUGGGCUUAACCCAUAGCUGCGAUCGAAACUGUUCAUCUUGAGUGAAGUAGAGGCAGGCGGAAUUCCUAGUGUAGCGGUGAAAUGCGUAAAUAUUAGGAGGAACACCAGUGGCGAAGGCGGCCUGCUGGGCUUUAACUGACGCUGAGGCUCGAAAGCGUGGGUAGCAAACAG
Molecule: ribosomal RNA, 251 nt
Filed under: uncultured bacterium
Lineage: Bacteria
Description: partial 16S ribosomal RNA
Rfam family: Bacterial small subunit ribosomal RNA
Source: RNAcentral